Molecule: long non-coding RNA, 552 nt
Organism: Daucus carota subsp. sativus
Lineage: Eukaryota; Viridiplantae; Streptophyta; Magnoliopsida; Apiales; Apiaceae
Exons: 2
Source: RefSeq, a predicted model, not a curated record
AAAGUACAAUACAACUCAAUCAGCAAUGGUGAGGAUUACUGGUUUCUUGGCGAUCGUGUUGGCAUUAAUUGUAUCAAUCACUCUGGUGGCAGAAGCAGAGCACACGGGCUUUGAAUGUAAUGGAUCCAAGAACCAGAAAGCAUUAGACGCGUGCAGUCCAUUUACUUGGAGAGGUGCGAAAGAGCCAUCUGGUGAGUGCUGCAGCAGGUUUAGAGCAUUCAUUGAAACAGCCAAAACUGCAGAAGAAAGGAGAGAACUUUGUUCUUGCGUCCAGCGAAACACUAUAGUAUAUAAAGCAAUUGUUAAAAAUGUGGAUGCUCUGUGGGGGAUAUGUGGAGUGCCUUUUCUAUUCUCGUCUGAUUCUAAGUUCGACUGCAACAGUGUAAACUGAGGCACGCCUUGGAUGCAUGCAGCUGGAGAAGACCCCAAUAUUUAUGUAAUUCAUGGUUGUCAUAUUUCACUCCAUAAAUAUGUAGUGUCCUUACAUACUCAUUAAUAAAUAAAGGUAAGGACUGUUUGAAACAUUGAAGAAUAAUAAGAAAUUUAGUUGUU